This 253-nucleotide ribosomal RNA is filed under the name uncultured bacterium. Its description in RNAcentral is "partial 16S ribosomal RNA". It matches the Rfam family "Bacterial small subunit ribosomal RNA", at positions 524 to 776 of the family's 1533-position model. The record is from RNAcentral.
UACAGAGGUCUCAAGCGUUGUUCGGAUUCAUUGGGCGUAAAGGGUGUGUAGGUGGCGCGCUAAGUCGGGUGUGAAAUUUCGGAGCUUAACUCCGAAACUGCAUUCGAUACUGGCGUGCUUGAGGACUGGAGAGGAGACUGGAAUUCAUGGUGCAGCAGUGAAAUGCGUAGAGAUCAUGAGGAAGACCAGUGGCGAAGGCGGGUCUCUGGGCCGAUACUGACGCUGAGGAGCGAAAGCGUGGGGAGCGAACAGG